GACGAACGCUGGCGGCGUGCUUAACACAUGCAAGUCGAACGGUGAAGCGCCUUCCUUUUUGGUGGGUGUGGAUGAGUGGCGAACGGGUGAGUAACACGUGAGUAACCUGCCCCCUUCUUCUGGAUAACCGCAUGAAAGUGUGGCUAGUACGGGAUAUUCUGGGUCUGUCGCAUGAUGGGUCUGGGAAAGAUAUUGUUUCGGUGGGGGAUGGGCUCGCGGCCUAUCAGCUUGUUGGUGGGGUGAUGGCCUACCAAGGCGGUGACGGGUAGCCGGCCUGAGAGGGUGGACGGUCACACUGGGACUGAGACACGGCCCAGACUCCUACGGGAGGCAGCAGUGGGGAAUAUUGCACAAUGGGCGCAAGCCUGAUGCAGCGACGCCGCGUGAGGGAUGGAGGCCUUCGGGUUGUGAACCUCUUUCGCCAGUGAAGCAGGCCUGCCUCGUUUGUGGGUGGGUUGACGGUAGCUGGAUAAGAAGCGCCGGCUAACUACGUG
Molecule: ribosomal RNA, 494 nt
Filed under: uncultured bacterium
Lineage: Bacteria
Description: partial 16S ribosomal RNA
Rfam family: Bacterial small subunit ribosomal RNA
Source: RNAcentral